UUUUUUUUAAUAUCUGGAUUCUAGAAGUUCAAACACAAAGACCCUACAUAUCCUAGAGGCAGAAUCCACACCAAGUUAAAUUCAUCUCCUUUGGAGAAGAGAUCCCUCCCAACGUACCUCGAACCUAACACCUCUACUUGGAAAAUUUACCACUGGGCCAACAGCUCGUUGGUCAUCUAAGUGUUUUACCUU
This 192-nucleotide small RNA is filed under the name Arabidopsis thaliana (thale cress). Its description in RNAcentral is "ATSL195630". Lineage: Eukaryota; Viridiplantae; Streptophyta; Magnoliopsida; Brassicales; Brassicaceae. The record is from RNAcentral.